This 90-nucleotide microRNA precursor is filed under the name Canis lupus familiaris (dog). RNAcentral describes it as "mir-8799 microRNA precursor family". It matches the Rfam family "mir-8799 microRNA precursor family". The record is from Rfam by way of RNAcentral. Lineage: Eukaryota; Metazoa; Chordata; Mammalia; Carnivora; Canidae.
AGGGGUAGGCCGGAUACUAGGCUGAGUCCCCAGCGCCCUGUGCUCCUUGGCCUGCGCUGUUGGAUUCGUGCUCUGGCUGCGAGGCCGCCU